Molecule: ribosomal RNA, 1351 nt
Filed under: Leptotrichia sp.
Lineage: Bacteria; Fusobacteriati; Fusobacteriota; Fusobacteriia; Fusobacteriales; Leptotrichiaceae
Also listed under: 2 other names
Description: bacterial SSU rRNA
Rfam family: Bacterial small subunit ribosomal RNA
Source: RNAcentral
GAGUUUGAUUCUGGCUCAGGAUGAACGCUGACAGAAUGCUUAACACAUGCAAGUCUGGCGAGCGGCGGACGGGUGAGUAACGCGUAAGGAACUUGCCCUGCAGUCAGGGAUAACAGACGGAAACGACUGAUAAGACCUGGUAAAGAAAAUGCUGCAGGAGAGCCUUGCGUCCUAUUAGCUUGUUGGUGGGGUAACGGCCCACCAAGGCGAUGAUAGGUAGCCGGCCUGAGAGGGUGGACGGCCACAAGGGGACUGAGAUACGGCCCUUACUCCUACGGGAGGCAGCAGUGGGGAAUAUUGGACAAUGGGGGCAACCCUGAUCCAGCAAUUCUGUGUGCACGAUGAAGGUUUUCGGAUUGUAAAGUGCUUUCAGCAGGGAAGAUGACGGUACCUGCAGAAGAAGCGACGGCUAACUACGUGCCAGCAGCCGCGGUAAUACGUAUGUCGCAAGCGUUAUCCGGAAUUAUUGGGCAUAAAGGGCAUCUAGGCGGCCAGAUAAGUCUGGGGUGAAAACUUGCGGCUCAACCGCAAGCCUGCCCUGGAAACUAUGUGGCUAGAGUACUGGAGAGGUGGACGGAACUGCACGAGUAGAGGUGAAAUUCGUAGAUAUGUGCAGGAAUGCCGAUGAUGAAGAUAGUUCACUGGACGGACUGACGCUGAAGUGCGAAAGCUAGGGGAGCAAACAGGAUUAGAUACCCUGGUAGUCCUAGCUGUAAACGAUGAUUACUGGGUGUGGGCAUGUCCGUGCCGAAGCUAAUGCGAUAAGUAAUCCGCCUGGGGAGUACGGCCGCAAGGCUGAAACUCAAAGGAAUUGACGGGGACCCGCACAAGCGGUGGAGCAUGUGGUUUAAUUCGACGCAACGCGAGGAACCUUACCAGAUCUUGACAUCGACAGGUGGUGCAUGGCUGUCGACAGCUCGUGUCGUGAGAUGUUGGGUUAAGUCCCGCAACGAGCGCAACCCCUAUUGCUAGUUGCCAUCAUGGGAACUCUAGCAAGACUGCCUGCGAAGAGCAGGAGGAAGGUGGGGAUGACGUCAAGUCAUCAUGCCCCUUAUGAUCUGGGCUACACACGUGCUACAAUGGCUGGCAGAGAGAUGCGACGCAGCAAUGCCAAGCCAACCUCUCCAGUCCAAGUUCGGAUGAAGCCUGCAACUCGGCUUCAGAAGUUGGAAUCGCUAGUAAUCGCGGAUCAGCAAUGCCGCGGUGAAUACGUUCUCGGGCCUUGUACACACCGCCCGUCACACCACGAGAGUUGUCUGCACCUGAAGCUGCCGUCUAAGAAGGCAUCUAAGGUGUGGACAGUGAUUGGGGUGAAGUCGUAACAAGGUAUCCGUACCGGAAGGUGCGGCUG